This 414-nucleotide ribosomal RNA is filed under the name uncultured bacterium. Its description in RNAcentral is "bacterial SSU rRNA". It matches the Rfam family "Bacterial small subunit ribosomal RNA", at positions 355 to 786 of the family's 1533-position model. The record is from RNAcentral.
UAGGGAAUAUUGCACAAUGGGGAAAGCCCUGAUGCAGCGACGCCGCGUGAAGGAAGAAGUAUCUCGGUAUGUAAACUUCUAUCAGCAGGGAAGACAAUGACGGUACCUGCAAAGGAAGCACCGGCUAACUCCGUGCCAGCAGCCGCGGUAAUACGGAGGGUGCGAGCGUUAAUCGGAAUUACUGGGCGUAAAGCGCUCGUAGGUAGUAUAUCAAGUCAAGGGUGAAAUCCCCGCGCUCAACGUGGGAACUGCCUUUGAAACUGGUAGACUUGAGUGUGUGAGAGGAUAGUGGAAUUCCAGGUGUAGGAGUGAAAUCCGUAGAUAUCUGGAGGAACAUCAGUGGCGAAGGCGACUAUCUGGCACAUAACUGACACUGAGGAGCGAAAGCGUGGGUAGCAAACAGGAUUAGAUACC